RNAcentral lists this ribosomal RNA (449 nucleotides) under uncultured bacterium. Its description in RNAcentral is "partial 16S ribosomal RNA". It matches the Rfam family "Bacterial small subunit ribosomal RNA", at positions 29 to 523 of the family's 1533-position model. The record is from RNAcentral.
AACGAACGCUGGCGGCAUGCCUAACACAUGCAAGUCGAACGAAGGCUUUGGCCUAAGUGGCGCACGGGUGAGUAACGCGCGGGAAACUGCCUAUUGGUGGGGAAUAACGACGGGAAACUGUCGCUAAUACCGCAUAAGCCCUUCGGGGGAAGGGUUUAUCGCCGAUAGAGGUGCCCGCGUCCGAUUAGCGAGUUGGUGAGGUAAUGGCUCACCAAGGCGACGAUCGGUAGCUGGUCUGAGAGGAUGAUCAGCCACACUGGGACUGAGGCAGGGCCCAGACUCCUACGGGGGGCAGCAGUGGGGAAUAUUGGACAAUGGGCGAAAGCCUGAUCCAGCAAUGCCGCGUGAGUGAUGAAGGCCUUAGGGUUGUAAAGCUCUUUCGGGUGGGACGAUGAUGACGGUACCACCAGAAGAAGCCCCGGCUAACUUCGUGCCAGCCGCCGCCGUAA